GCAAGUCGAACGAGAAAUUACCUUCGGGUAAUGGAAAGUGGCACACGGGUGAGUAACGCGUGGCAACCUACAUUUUUCUACGGGACAACAGUUGGAAACGACUGCUAAUACCGUAUACGUCCUCCGGGAGAAAGAUUUAUCGGUGAAAGAUGGGGCCGCGUUAGAUUAGCUUGUUGGUGAGGUAAUGGCUCACCAAGGCGACGAUCUAUAGCUGGUCUGAGAGGAUGAUC
This 230-nucleotide ribosomal RNA is filed under the name uncultured bacterium. Its description in RNAcentral is "partial 16S ribosomal RNA". It matches the Rfam family "Bacterial small subunit ribosomal RNA", at positions 57 to 305 of the family's 1533-position model. The record is from RNAcentral.